This 955-nucleotide long non-coding RNA is filed under the name Papio anubis (olive baboon). Its description in RNAcentral is "lncRNA (ENSPANG00000040716.1)". The record is from RNAcentral. Lineage: Eukaryota; Metazoa; Chordata; Mammalia; Primates; Cercopithecidae.
CUUCUGCUAACUGGGAAAAGCCUGAUAGUUCUCCUUAGUCUCAAGAGUAAAGAGUCUUUUUGGACUUGAUUUCUGCCAUAUCAUCACCAUCAGUUUAUAAAUCAGAUUUGUUGUUUGUUUUUUAAAAAUAUUUUCUGCCAUUAUAAAGGUUACAAAAUAGUGUAUCAUUAGUGAUUUAUUGCAUCUCUCCCUGAUGACUGUGUAAAUUGAGAAUCUUUUCUAUUAGUUAUUCAGGAGUUCUUUUCCAUAAACUCAUUCAUUCACUUAUUUAUUUAAGAACUGAAGGGAGUCAAGAGGAAAUGCAAAAUGAACACGAGAACAUAAUGGUAGUGAUUUCAGGGGUGAGGCUGAGAUCAUAGAAGUUACCGUGGGAAUCAUCAGCGUAAACAUGGCACUUACUGUCAUAUAAAUGAUACCACACCAAGAAUGAGCAGGGAGAUAGGAGAAAAGCUUCAAGGCUUGAACCUCAAUGCUUGAAUAUUACAAAGUCUCAGAAAAAGGAGGGAUAGCUACUAGAAAGAGUGAGACAAACCAAAAAGAAGAAAAAAUGAAGACGAUUUGAUGUUUAGGAAGGCAAGAGAAUGCUCCCAGAACGAGGGAGGAAACAUCUGGGUAAAGAUUGCUGAGAAGACAAGAAAGAGGAGGACCAACGUUUGAUCAUUUGAGUUGAUAUUUUGAAGAUUGUGGAUAAGAGCAGCUUUGUUGGAGUGGUGGAAUUCACGGUAGCAUCAAAUGUCUUGAGAUAGAUACUGCUGAUCUCAUGUUUGCUUUGGAUACUUUCAAAGCUGCAAAGUGUGACACAGCCUUGGAGAGGAAGAGAAAAAGUAUCCUGACAGCGGGGAGGAGACUGAGGGAGAGAGAGAGUCCCUUCCUUGAGGACACGCAGGCGUGCAUGAGCUUUCCGUCCAGGAAUCCCACCAGGUUCUGUGGUAAAGAGCAAGAAAAGAUCCUCUGA